GCCGGGCAUGGUGGCAUGUGCCUGUAGUUCCAGGUACUUGGGAAGCUGAGGUGGGAGGAUAGCUCCAGCCCAGGAGUUCUGGGCUGUAGUGCGCUAUGCCGAUCGGGUGUCCGCACUAAGUUCGGCAUCAAUAUGGUGACCUCCCGGGAGCAGAGGACCACCAGGUUGCCUAAGGAGGAGUGAACCGGCCCAGGUCGAAAACGGAGCAGGUCAAAACUCCCGUGCUGAUCAGUAGUGGGAUCGCGCCUGGGAAUAGCCACUGCACUCCAGCCUGGGCAACAGAGGGAGACCCCGUCUCUU
Molecule: unclassified non-coding RNA, 300 nt
Organism: Callithrix jacchus (white-tufted-ear marmoset)
Lineage: Eukaryota; Metazoa; Chordata; Mammalia; Primates; Cebidae
Rfam family: Metazoan signal recognition particle RNA
About the family: The signal recognition particle (SRP) is a universally conserved ribonucleoprotein. It is involved in the co-translational targeting of proteins to membranes.
Source: Ensembl